Molecule: transfer RNA, 67 nt
Filed under: Sundasciurus tenuis (slender squirrel)
Lineage: Eukaryota; Metazoa; Chordata; Mammalia; Rodentia; Sciuridae
Description: tRNA-Arg
Source: RNAcentral
UGAUAAUUAGUUUAAAUCAAAACAAGUGAUUUCGACUCACUAAAUUAUGUGUCAACAUAAUUAUCAA